Vigna umbellata (rice bean) is the source of this 1093-nucleotide non-coding RNA. The record is from RefSeq and is a predicted model, not a curated record. Lineage: Eukaryota; Viridiplantae; Streptophyta; Magnoliopsida; Fabales; Fabaceae.
AGAGAGAGAGAAGGAAGUGAUCGAUUGUGCAUCUCACUCCUUUGUGCUCUCUAUGCUUCUGUCAUCACCUUCAGCCUCCGUUUCUCAUUCCUCCUCUCUCUACACCAACUGUUGAUGUUACAAUUACACAAUACAAGAUUUUAGAAAACAGAUUUGGCUGCAUCAAUGGAUAAUGAUUCUAGUGAUGGCAUCAACUGUAUUAUUUAUCCUUAAUUUCUUGCAAUAUCAUAAAAUGAUGAAAUGAAAUUACAAUAUUAUUUGAUAUGAAUAUAGAUAUCUAGGCCAACAUAUGAUUGCUGUAUUAAUUAACCUUUAUAUUUUUGUAGUUAGACGCGUGUGGCUGUUGGACACUACGAGUUAUCUGUCUGUCGAUGGCAUGAGAGAGUAAGAAUGAGAAACUGAUGAAGGAUUUAGCUUUUUUUUGUAAUUUUCUACACACUUUUGUUCUUUUUGCUGCUGAUUUCCUUCACUGUGGUAGUGUGUAUAAACAUUUGAUUUGGGCAUAGAAGAUCUGUAUUUUGUGCUUGAAAGAAAAAUCUGACUUGCUUUCAACAAGAAGAAUGUAGUACAACUUGCUUUAUGGAAGAAGGACCACAUGCAAUUGGAAUUUGUGGCAAGGGAUUGCGAAGAAAAUGUAUGGGGUCCAAUUCAAAACUGACUAUGACAUAUUGUAGGGCACAUACAUACUUGAUUUCUCAAGAUUCUUCCAGUCAGUACCCCACACUCUUGUUCAAUGAUUUACAAGGUGAUCUAGCCAACAACAAAGGGUCAAGAACAAAACCAAGAUCAAAUAACUUUAUAUACUGUAAAUAAUAUCUGGUUAUGGUGAAUGAACAAAAGUUUAAAACUAAAAACAAGGAGAGAAAUGGGUGGUUUUCAUGGAUGAAGAUGACCCCAUUAUUACUAUUCAUGUGACGUAUUAGUGGUAGGAAAUUGAUGUAUAGUAGUAGUUUAGUAGUGGUAUUGCAAUCCAAGAUAGAACCCAUAUAUAUCUGAUAAACAAUGUGAAGAAGAAGAUACAGUGAAAUAUCACUUGCCUUGUCUGCAAUGCAAGAAACAUGAAAUUAAUGAAAGUAUUCUUCCAUUUUCUAGA